RNAcentral lists this ribosomal RNA (1497 nucleotides) under Weissella confusa. Its description in RNAcentral is "bacterial SSU rRNA". It matches the Rfam family "Bacterial small subunit ribosomal RNA". Lineage: Bacteria; Bacillati; Bacillota; Bacilli; Lactobacillales; Lactobacillaceae. The record is from RNAcentral.
GAUGAACGCUGGCGGCGUGCCUAAUACAUGCAAGUCGAACGCUUUGUGGUUCAACUGAUUUGAAGAGCUUGCUCAGAUAUGACGAUGGACAUUGCAAAGAGUGGCGAACGGGUGAGUAACACGUGGGAAACCUACCUCUUGGCAGGGGAUAACAUUUGGAAACAGAUGCUAAUACCGUAUAACAAUGACAACCGCAUGGUUGUUAUUUAAAAGAUGGUUCUGCUAUCACUAAGAGAUGGUCCCGCGGUGCAUUAGCUAGUUGGUAAGGUAAUGGCUUACCAAGGCGAUGAUGCAUAGCCGAGUUGAGAGACUGAUCGGCCACAAUGGGACUGAGACACGGCCCAUACUCCUACGGGAGGCAGCAGUAGGGAAUCUUCCACAAUGGGCGAAAGCCUGAUGGAGCAACGCCGCGUGUGAUGAAGGGUUUCGGCUCGUAAAACACUGUUGUAAGAGAAGAAUGACAUUGAGAGUAACUGUUCAAUGUGUGACGGUAUCUUACCAGAAAGGAACGGCUAAAUACGUGCCAGCAGCCGCGGUAAUACGUAUGUUCCAAGCGUUAUCCGGAUUUAUUGGGCGUAAAGCGAGCGCAGACGGUUAUUUAAGUCUGAAGUGAAAGCCCUCAGCUCAACUGAGGAAUUGCUUUGGAAACUGGAUGACUUGAGUGCAGUAGAGGAAAGUGGAACUCCACGUGUAGCGGUGAAAUGCGUAGAUAUAUGGAAGAACACCAGUGGCGAAGGCGGCUUUCUGGACUGUAACUGACGUUGAGGCUCGAAAGUGUGGGUAGCAAACAGGAUUAGAUACCCUGGUAGUCCACACCGUAAACGAUGAGUGCUAGGUGUUUGAGGGUUUCCGCCCUUAAGUGCCGCAGCUAACGCAUUAAGCACUCCGCCUGGGGAGUACGACCGCAAGGUUGAAACUCAAAGGAAUUGACGGGGACCCGCACAAGCGGUGGAGCAUGUGGUUUAAUUCGAAGCAACGCGAAGAACCUUACCAGGUCUUGACAUCCCUUGACAACUCCAGAGAUGGAGCGUUCCCUUCGGGGACAAGGUGACAGGUGGUGCAUGGUUGUCGUCAGCUCGUGUCGUGAGAUGUUGGGUUAAGUCCCGCAACGAGCGCAACCCUUAUUACUAGUUGCCAGCAUUCAGUUGGGCACUCUAGUGAGACUGCCGGUGACAAACCGGAGGAAGGUGGGGAUGACGUCAAAUCAUCAUGCCCCUUAUGACCUGGGCUACACACGUGCUACAAUGGCGUAUACAACGAGUUGCCAACCCGCGAGGGUGAGCUAAUCUCUUAAAGUACGUCUCAGUUCGGAUUGUAGGCUGCAACUCGCCUACAUGAAGUCGGAAUCGCUAGUAAUCGCGGAUCAGCACGCCGCGGUGAAUACGUUCCCGGGUCUUGUACACACCGCCCGUCACACCAUGAGAGUUUGUAACACCCAAAGCCGGUGGGGUAACCUUCGGGAGCCAGCCGUCUAAGGUGGGACAGAUGAUUAGGGUG